UCUCGUCCAGCUAAGAAGUAAAAGUCUUAAGCAAGUUCUCCGACUUGGUGAACCAGCGGAGGGAUCAUUACGGAGUUUACAACUCCCAAACCCAAUGUGAACCAUACCAAACUGUUGCCUCGGCGGGGUCACGCCCCGGGUGCGUCGCAGCCCCGGAACCAGGCGCCCGCCGGAGGGACCAACCAAACUCUUUCUGUAGUCCCCUCGCGGACGUUAUUUCUUACAGCUCUGAGCAAAAAUUCAAAAUGAAUCAAAACUUUCAACAACGGAUCUCUUGGUUCUGGCAUCGAUGAAGAACGCAGCGAAAUGCGAUAAGUAAUGUGAAUUGCAGAAUUCAGUGAAUCAUCGAAUCUUUGAACGCACAUUGCGCCCGCCAGUAUUCUGGCGGGCAUGCCUGUCCGAGCGUCAUUUCAACCCUCGAACCCCUCCGGGGGGUCGGCGUUGGGGAUCGGGAACCCCUAAGACGGGAUCCCGGCCCCGAAAUACAGUGGCGGUCUCGCCGCAGCCUCUCCUGCGCAGUAGUUUGCACAACUCGCACCGGGAGCGCGGCGCGUCCACGUCCGUAAAACACCCAACUUCUGAAAUGUUGACCUCGGAUCAGGUAGGAAUACCCGCUGAACUUAAGCAUAUCAUAAGCGGGAGGAAAA
This 647-nucleotide ribosomal RNA is filed under the name Trichoderma sp. OTU065 AN-2016. RNAcentral describes it as "eukaryotic LSU rRNA". The stretch from base 255 to 408 matches the Rfam family "5.8S ribosomal RNA". Lineage: Eukaryota; Fungi; Ascomycota; Sordariomycetes; Hypocreales; Hypocreaceae. The record is from RNAcentral.